GUAGGUGGCAAGCGUUGUCCGGAAUUAUUGGGCGUAAAGCGCGCGCAGGUGGUUCUUUAAGUCUGAUGUGAAAGCCCCCGGCUCAACCGGGGAGGGUCAUUGGAAGCUGGGGAACUUGAGUGCAGGAGAGGAAAGUGGAAUUCCACGUGUAGCGGUGAAAUGCGUAGAUAUGUGGAGGAACACCAGUGGCGAAGGCGACUUUCUGGCCUGUAACUGACACUGAGGCGCGAAAGCGUGGGGAGCAAACAGGGAUUAGAUACCCUGGUAGUCCACGCCGUAAACGAUGAGUGCUAAGUGUUGGGGGGGGUUUCCGCCCCCUCAGUGCUGCAGCUAACGCAUUAAGCACUCCGCCUGGGAGUACGGUCGCAAGACUG
Molecule: ribosomal RNA, 374 nt
Filed under: uncultured organism
Description: partial 16S ribosomal RNA
Rfam family: Bacterial small subunit ribosomal RNA
Source: RNAcentral